This 512-nucleotide ribosomal RNA is filed under the name Trichoderma harzianum. RNAcentral describes it as "eukaryotic LSU rRNA". The stretch from base 133 to 286 matches the Rfam family "5.8S ribosomal RNA". The record is from RNAcentral. Lineage: Eukaryota; Fungi; Ascomycota; Sordariomycetes; Hypocreales; Hypocreaceae.
GGUGCGUCGCAGCCCCGGACCAAGGCGCCCGCCGGAGGACCAACCAAAACUCUUAUUGUAUACCCCCUCGCGGGUUUUUUUAUAAUCUGAGCCUUCUCGGCGCCUCUCGUAGGCGUUUCGAAAAUGAAUCAAAACUUUCAACAACGGAUCUCUUGGUUCUGGCAUCGAUGAAGAACGCAGCGAAAUGCGAUAAGUAAUGUGAAUUGCAGAAUUCAGUGAAUCAUCGAAUCUUUGAACGCACAUUGCGCCCGCCAGUAUUCUGGCGGGCAUGCCUGUCCGAGCGUCAUUUCAACCCUCGAACCCCUCCGGGGGGUCGGCGUUGGGGAUCGGCCCUGCCUUGGCGGUGGCCGUCUCCGAAAUACAGUGGCGGUCUCGCCGCAGCCUCUCCUGCGCAGUAGUUUGCACACUCGCAUCGGGAGCGCGGCGCGUCCACAGCCGUUAAACACCCAACUUCUGAAAUGUUGACCUCGGAUCAGGUAGGAAUACCCGCUGAACUUAAGCAUAUCAAUAAG